GACGAACGCUGGCGGCGUGCUUAACACAUGCAAGUCGAACGGAAAGGCCCUGCUUGCAGGGUACUCGAGUGGCGAACGGGUGAGUAACACGUGGGUGAUCUGCCCUGCACCUCGGGAUAAGCCUGGGAAACUGGGUCUAAUACCGGAUAGGAGCCAUUUUUAGUGUGAUGGUUGGAAAGUUUUUUCGGUGUAGGAUGAGCUCGCGGCCUAUCAGCUUGUUGGUGGGGUAAUGGCCUACCAAGGCGGCGACGGGUAGCCGGCCUGAGAGGGUGGACGGCCACAUUGGGACUGAGAUACGGCCCAGACUCCUACGGGAGGCAGCAGUGGGGAAUAUUGCACAAUGGGCGCAAGCCUGAUGCAGCGACGCCGCGUGGGGGAUGACGGCCUUCGGGUUGUAAACUCCUUUCGCUAGGGACGAAGCUUUUUGUGACGGUACCUAGAGAAGAAGCACCGGCUAACUACGUG
Molecule: ribosomal RNA, 465 nt
Filed under: uncultured bacterium
Lineage: Bacteria
Description: partial 16S ribosomal RNA
Rfam family: Bacterial small subunit ribosomal RNA
Source: RNAcentral